RNAcentral lists this long non-coding RNA (224 nucleotides) under Elaeis guineensis (African oil palm). RNAcentral's name for it is "long non-coding RNA (EGUI_LNC019829)". Lineage: Eukaryota; Viridiplantae; Streptophyta; Magnoliopsida; Arecales; Arecaceae. The record is from RNAcentral.
CUAAAUAAGAAUAGCCAAUAAGAAAGUCUUGGUCAUGUGAGAAGUGAGAACUAACUUGAAGGAAUCUUGAAGCCCUCUUGCUCAAAUAACCAGCUCAAAAACCUUGGAUGUCCAAGAGGCAACGGCAGACCUAAAAGAAUCCUUGGAGGCUGAAAAAUAUCAGCAUGCCGAUCUGAGCCAAGAUUCUCGAAGAAAUUAUUACACAGAUACUUAGAGCCACCCCG